RNAcentral lists this long non-coding RNA (1479 nucleotides) under Fukomys damarensis (Damara mole-rat). Its description in RNAcentral is "lncRNA (ENSFDAG00000027279.1)". Lineage: Eukaryota; Metazoa; Chordata; Mammalia; Rodentia; Bathyergidae. The record is from RNAcentral.
GUUCUUAUCAGUCACUCUGGACUAACGUUGUCCCUCUAUUAAAGCCCUAUUAAUUGACCUGGGCAGCUGGGGCUAACGAAUUUUGAGGAAUUCCAAGUUAAUCUACUGGAACUUAUUUACAGACACUUUGGGGAUCUCUUAAAUGUUUCCACAAAAGGCUGUCAGGAAAGGGAAACGUGUUAAUGAAAAGGAGAAUGAAACGUCUAAGGGUCUCACUAAUGUGGAACCAGGUAAAGGACAGGACUGGAAUAGAGUGAGCUUGUGAAUGUUUCUGGGGUGAACUGGGGGGGGGGGCUAGCUACGGAGGCCAGGCCAGGCCAGGCCAGGCUGUUUACCAUUGGUUUUCGAUACAUGGGGACAUUGCCAGAAAGAAUCCUUUGGAAACACAUUUUGGAGUUACAAGGAAGAAGUCCACAACAUGCUAGUGGUAACCUUGGGGCGAGACACAUAAAGGCAGACCAAUCCUUUGCAAACGAUAGAAUGUUUUCCAACCAACUGUCGUCUUUAGACUUGGUUUGCUGGCUUUGCAGAAGUGUUAAAGUUUCCAAAAGAGAUUGCUUUCACCAGGUGGGCUACCCAGGAAUUAAGGCCAUACUGCUUAUUUCAAAGAUGACAAUUACCAAGACAUUCCGAGGUCAAAAACGAGACCACACUUGAACGAGAAUCGUACAGCGGCGGAGCAAAAGCAGACGGGCGCCUGGGCAGCCUUCCUCCGCCUCCGCCCCCAGCGCCUCGCCUCUCUCGGCAGGCGGUCUGUCUGCAGGAGCCAGCCGCUCUCAACUGCCAUUUUGGAUCCACGCGGACUCAACUCGGUGCCACCCGUAUGCCAGGCUCUGGGAAUACGAAAGCGGUGCGAUGCUGCCUGGAGAACAACAUCCCUUUGCUUAAGAACUUCCAUGCAUUUCCUAUUUUCUGCUUCCUCCCAGGACCCACUUUCCAUCCAAACACUUUCCACCUUCCCUGAACCCUCCCUCCAGUCUUCUUGCCAGCCCGAGGCCCCACGCGAGGACCGGGCGCGACCUCUUCCUUCCCCUGGAGCCUACUCACGCCCAGCUCAAGCCUCACAUGCUGGGGUUCCGGAUCCUUUCGUGUGUGUGUGUGUGUGUGUGUGUGUGUGUGUGUCCCCUUCACUGUGACUGCUCCUGGGAGGCUCCUGCCUCCGAAUGUCACCUCUCCCGGGAGGACGCCCCCUUCCUCCUCUGGUCUGCACGCUCCAGGUGCACAUGGCGGGGCUCAGUAUUCACCUCUCGCCACCCACUCGACUGAGUCCCCACUCUACUGUCCCGGGUGUUGGUUUUGCCCAGGAAAAGUAAGGUUCUGCUUUGUCUUUCACCUUACCCUGGGGACAGAGAAAAGAGGAGACCUCAGAGGAGACUGCAGGAGGCAGCUCACUCUGCUUCCGAGAGGACAGGACACUGGGACGCAGGGCUGCGCAGAGGGCAGAGAAGGGGCACCCAACAUCAGCAAUGCUUCGGGGAC